Molecule: ribosomal RNA, 450 nt
Filed under: uncultured bacterium
Lineage: Bacteria
Description: partial 16S ribosomal RNA
Rfam family: Bacterial small subunit ribosomal RNA
Source: RNAcentral
CCUACGGGGGGCUGCAGUAAGGAAUAUUGGUCAAUGGAGGAAACUCUGAACCAGCCAUCCCGCGUGAAGGAUGAAGGGGCUCUGCCUUGUAAACUUCUUUUGUCUGGGGCGAAAAAGCUCGAUUUAUCGAGAACUGACGGUACCCGAAGAAUAAGCACCGGCUAACUCCGUGCCAGCAGCCGCGGUCAUACGGAGGGUGCCGGCGUUAUCCGGAAUCACUGGGUUGUAGGCGUGCGUAUAAGUCUGUGUUGAAAGGCUGUGGCUUAACCAUGGAAUUGCCAUUGAUACUGCAGAGCUGGAAUGAGGUUGAGGUUGGCGGAAUGUGACAUGUAGCGGUGAAAUGCUUAGAUAUGUCAUGGAACACCGAUUGCGAAGGCAGCUGACUGGACCUAUAUUGACGCUGAGGCACGAAAGCGUGGGGAGCGAACAGGAUUAGAUACCCCUGUAGUC